GACGAACGCUGGCGGCGUGGAUUAGGCAUGCAAGUCGGACGGUAGAGCUUUAUCGUAAGAUAGAGUUUGAGAGUGGCGAACGGGUGAGUAACACGUAGGAAUCUACCCUUAAGACGGGGACAACCCAGGGAAACUUGGGCUAAUACCGGAUGAGAGUGCGAGAGAUUGCAUUUAAAAAGGAUGGCGAAAGUUGUCGCUUAGGGAUGAGCCUGCGGUCUAUUAGUUAGUUGGUGAGGUAAGAGCUCACCAAGGCGAUGAUAGAUAGGCGGCCUUAACGGGUGGUCGCCCACACUGGGAUUGAGAUACGGCCCAGACUCCUACGGGAGGCAGCAGUCGAGAAUAGUCUACAAUGGCCGGAAGGCUGAUAGUGCGACGCCGCGUGAACGAGGGAAGCCCCUUCGGGGUGUAAAGGUUCUUUCUAUACGAGCAGUGCUAUAUAUAUGGAUAGUAAUAUAAUUAGAGGGAGUAAGUUAAGGUAUUAGGAAAGUUAAAGACAAACGGGCUAAACUCCGUGGCCCAAGCC
RNAcentral lists this ribosomal RNA (523 nucleotides) under uncultured bacterium. RNAcentral's name for it is "bacterial SSU rRNA". It matches the Rfam family "Bacterial small subunit ribosomal RNA", at positions 28 to 516 of the family's 1533-position model. The record is from RNAcentral.